GACGAACGCUGGCGGCGUGCUUAACACAUGCAAGUCGAACGGAAAGGCCCUGCUUUUGUGGGGUGCUCGAGUGGCGAACGGGUGAGUAACACGUGAGUAACCUGCCCUUGACUUUGGGAUAACUUCAGGAAACUGGGGCUAAUACCGGAUAGGAGCUCCUGCUGCAUGGUGGGGGUUGGAAAGUUUCGGCGGUGGGGGAUGGACUCGCGGCUUAUCAGCUUGUUGGUGGGGUAGUGGCUUACCAAGGCUUUGACGGGUAGCCGGCCUGAGAGGGUGACCGGCCACAUUGGGACUGAGAUACGGCGCAGACUCCUACGGGAGGCAGCAGUGGGGAAUAUUGCACAAUGGGCGGAAGCCUGAUGCAGCAGCGCCGCGUGCGGGAUGACGGCCUUCGGGUUGUAAACCGCUUUCGCCUGUGACGAAGCGUGAGUGACGGUAAUGGGUAAAGAAGCACCGGCUAACUACGUG
This 468-nucleotide ribosomal RNA is filed under the name uncultured bacterium. Its description in RNAcentral is "partial 16S ribosomal RNA". It matches the Rfam family "Bacterial small subunit ribosomal RNA", at positions 28 to 507 of the family's 1533-position model. The record is from RNAcentral.